UACGGAGGGUGCAAGCGUUACUCGGAAUCACUGGGCGUAAAGAGCGUGUAGGCGGGUAUAUAAGUCAGAAGUGAAAUCCUAUAGCUUAACUAUAGAACUGCUUUUGAAACUGUAUACCUAGAAUGUGGGAGAGGUAGAUGGAAUUUCUGGUGUAGGGGUAAAAUCCGUAGAGAUCAGAAGGAAUACCGAUUGCGAAGGCGAUCUACUGGAACAUUAUUGACGCUGAGACGCGAAAGCGUGGGGAGCAAACAGG
This 253-nucleotide ribosomal RNA is filed under the name uncultured bacterium. RNAcentral's name for it is "partial 16S ribosomal RNA". It matches the Rfam family "Bacterial small subunit ribosomal RNA", at positions 524 to 776 of the family's 1533-position model. The record is from RNAcentral.